This 24-nucleotide non-coding RNA is filed under the name Cricetulus griseus (Chinese hamster). The record is from RNAcentral. Lineage: Eukaryota; Metazoa; Chordata; Mammalia; Rodentia; Cricetidae.
CUGUGAACCUACCACUGGAUGUAG